UGGCUCAGACUGUAAAAGCGUCUGCCUACAAUGCAGGAGACCUAGGUUCGAUCCCUAG
This 58-nucleotide transfer RNA is filed under the name Bos taurus (domestic cattle). It matches the Rfam family "tRNA", at positions 8 to 63 of the family's 71-position model. From Rfam's summary of the family: Transfer RNA (tRNA) molecules are approximately 80 nucleotides in length. The record is from Rfam by way of RNAcentral. Lineage: Eukaryota; Metazoa; Chordata; Mammalia; Artiodactyla; Bovidae. RNAcentral also lists the same sequence under 2 other names.